RNAcentral lists this ribosomal RNA (677 nucleotides) under Inocybe lacera var. heterosperma. RNAcentral describes it as "LSU rRNA". It matches the Rfam family "Eukaryotic large subunit ribosomal RNA", at positions 34 to 689 of the family's 3401-position model. The record is from RNAcentral. Lineage: Eukaryota; Fungi; Basidiomycota; Agaricomycetes; Agaricales; Inocybaceae.
UUAAGCAUAUCAAUAAGCGGAGGAAAAGAAACUAACAAGGAUUCCCCUAGUAACUGCGAGUGAAGCGGGAAAAGCUCAAAUUUGAAAUCUGGCAGUUCUUUUGACUGUCCGAGUUGUAAUCUAGAGAAGUGUUACCUGUGCUGGACCAUGUACAAGUCUUCUGGAAUGGGGCAUCAUAGAGGGUGAGAAUCCCGUCUUUGACAUGGACUACCAGUGCACUGUGGUGCGCUCUCAAAGAGUCGAGUUGUUUGGGAAUGCAGCUCAAAAUGGGUGGUAAAUGCCAUCUAAAGCUAAAUAUUGGCGAGAGACCGAUAGCGAACAAGUACCGUGAGGGAAAGAUGAAAAGAACUUUGGAAAGAGAGUUAAACAGUACGUGAAAUUGCUGAAAGGGAAACGCUUGAAGUCAGUCACGUUGGCUAGAAAUCAGCCUUGCUUUUGCUUGGUGUACUUUCUGGUUUGACGGGUCAGCAUCGAUUUCUUUGACCAUUGGAUAAAGUCUUUGGGAAUGUGGCAUCUUUGGAUGUGUUAUAGCCCAUUGUUGCAUACGAUGGUUGGGAUCGAGGAACUCAGCACGCCGCAAGGCCGGGUUUAUACCACGUUCGUGCUUAGGAUGCUGGCAUAAUGGCUUUAAUCGACCCGUCUUGAAACACGGACCAAGGAGUCUAACAUGCCUGCGA